GAAAUGCGAUACUUGGUGUGAAUUGCAGAAUCCCAUGAACAAUCGAGUAUUUGAACGCAAGUUGCGCUCGAAGCCACUAGGCUGAGGGCACGUCUGCCUGGGUGUCACAUAUCGUGUUGCCAACGACCACUCACUCCUAGAGGAGAUGUGCUGGUUUGGGGUCGUAAAUUGGCCUCCCGUGCCUUGUCGUGCGGCUGGCACAAAAGCGAGUCUCCGACAAUGGACGUCGCGACAUCGGUGGUUGUAAAAAGACCUUGUCGCGUGAAUCCCUAUCACCUUAGAGAGCUCUAGGAUCCUUAGGCGCCACACAUUGUGUGCGCUUUGAAUGUGACCCCAGGUCAGGCGGGACUACCUGCUGAGUUUAA
Molecule: unclassified non-coding RNA, 365 nt
Filed under: uncultured fungus
Lineage: Eukaryota; Fungi
Description: sequence contains ITS1
Rfam family: 5.8S ribosomal RNA (bases 1-107)
Source: RNAcentral